This 72-nucleotide transfer RNA is filed under the name Marmota monax (woodchuck). It matches the Rfam family "tRNA". From Rfam's summary of the family: Transfer RNA (tRNA) molecules are approximately 80 nucleotides in length. Their secondary structure includes four short double-helical elements and three loops (D, anti-codon, and T loops). The record is from Rfam by way of RNAcentral. Lineage: Eukaryota; Metazoa; Chordata; Mammalia; Rodentia; Sciuridae.
GGGGCUGUGACUCAGUGGUAGAGUGCUUGCCUAAUAUGUAUGAGAGCCUGGGUUGUAUUCCCAGCACCACCA